GACAGUGUGGUGUAAUGGUUUGAAUGUUGGACUAUGACUCUGGAGACCAGAGUUUGAAUCCCUGCUCAGCCA
Molecule: transfer RNA, 72 nt
Filed under: Phrynosoma platyrhinos (Desert horned lizard)
Lineage: Eukaryota; Metazoa; Chordata; Lepidosauria; Squamata; Phrynosomatidae
Description: tRNA-OTHER
Source: RNAcentral